GACGAACGCUGGCGGCGUGCCUAAUACAUGCAAGUAGAACGCUGAAGGAGGAGCUUGCUUCUCUGGAUGAGUUGCGAACGGGUGAGUAACGCGUAGGUAACCUGCCUGGUAGCGGGGGAUAACUAUUGGAAACGAUAGCUAAUACCGCAUAAGAGUAGAUGUUGCAUGACAUUUGCUUAAAAGGUGCAAUUGCAUCACUACCAGAUGGACCUGCGUUGUAUUAGCUAGUUGGUGGGGUAACGGCUCACCAAGGCGACGAUACAUAGCCGACCUGAGAGGGUGAUCGGCCACACUGGGACUGAGACACGGCCCAGACUCCUACGGGAGGCAGCAGGAGGGAAUCUUCGGCAAUAGACGGAAGUCUGACCGAGCAACGCCGCGUGAGUGAAGAAGGUUGUCGGAUCGUAAAGCUCUGUUGUAAGAGAAGAACGAGUGUGAGAGUGGAAAGUUCACACUGUGACGGUAUCUUACCAGAAAGGGACGGCUAACUACGUG
This 495-nucleotide ribosomal RNA is filed under the name uncultured bacterium. RNAcentral's name for it is "partial 16S ribosomal RNA". It matches the Rfam family "Bacterial small subunit ribosomal RNA", at positions 28 to 507 of the family's 1533-position model. The record is from RNAcentral.